This 492-nucleotide ribosomal RNA is filed under the name uncultured bacterium. RNAcentral describes it as "partial 16S ribosomal RNA". It matches the Rfam family "Bacterial small subunit ribosomal RNA", at positions 29 to 507 of the family's 1533-position model. The record is from RNAcentral.
AGUGAACGCUGGCGGUAGGCCUAACACAUGCAAGUCGAACGGCAGCACAGUAAGAGCUUGCUCUUACGGGUGGCGAGUGGCGGACGGGUGAGGAAUACAUCGGAAUCUACUUUUUCGUGGGGGAUCACGUAGGGAAACUUACGCUAAUACCGCAUACGCCCUACGGGUGAAAGCAGGGGAUCUUCGGACCUUGCGCGAUUGAAUGAGCCGAUGUCGGAUUAGCUAGUUGGCGGGGUAAAGGCCCACCGAGGCGACGAUCCGUAGCUGGUCUGAGAGGAUGAUCAGCCACACUGGAACGGAGACACGGACCAGACUCCUACGGGAGGCAGCAGUGGGGAAUAUUGGACAAUGGGCGCAAGCCUGAUCCAGCCAGACCGCGUGGGUGAAGAAGGCCUUCGGGUUGUAAAGCCCUUUUGUUGGGAAAGAAAAGCAGCAGGUUAAUACCCCGCUGUUCUGACGGUACCCAAAGAAUAAGCACCGGCUAACUUCGUG